This 923-nucleotide ribosomal RNA is filed under the name Acinetobacter sp. S274. RNAcentral's name for it is "bacterial SSU rRNA". It matches the Rfam family "Bacterial small subunit ribosomal RNA", at positions 143 to 1060 of the family's 1533-position model. Lineage: Bacteria; Pseudomonadati; Pseudomonadota; Gammaproteobacteria; Moraxellales; Moraxellaceae. The record is from RNAcentral.
ACAACAUUUCGAAAGGAAUGCUAAUACCGCAUACGUCCUACGGGAGAAAGCAGGGGAUCUUCGGACCUUGCGCUAAUAGAUGAGCCUAAGUCGGAUUAGCUAGUUGGUGGGGUAAAGGCCUACCAAGGCGACGAUCUGUAGCGGGUCUGAGAGGAUGAUCCGCCACACUGGGACUGAGACACGGCCCAGACUCCUACGGGAGGCAGCAGUGGGGAAUAUUGGACAAUGGGCGCAAGCCUGAUCCAGCCAUGCCGCGUGUGUGAAGAAGGCCUUAUGGUUGUAAAGCACUUUAAGCGAGGAGGAGGCUACUUUAGUUAAUACCUAGAGAUAGUGGACGUUACUCGCAGAAUAAGCACCGGCUAACUCUGUGCCAGCAGCCGCGGUAAUACAGAGGGUGCAAGCGUUAAUCGGAUUUACUGGGCGUAAAGCGCGCGUAGGCGGCUAAUUAAGUCAAAUGUGAAAUCCCCGAGCUUAACUUGGGAAUUGCAUUCGAUACUGGUUAGCUAGAGUGUGGGAGAGGAUGGUAGAAUUCCAGGUGUAGCGGUGAAAUGCGUAGAGAUCUGGAGGAAUACCGAUGGCGAAGGCAGCCAUCUGGCCUAACACUGACGCUGAGGUGCGAAAGCAUGGGGAGCAAACAGGAUUAGAUACCCUGGUAGUCCAUGCCGUAAACGAUGUCUACUAGCCGUUGGGGCCUUUGAGGCUUUAGUGGCGCAGCUAACGCGAUAAGUAGACCGCCUGGGGAGUACGGUCGCAAGACUAAAACUCAAAUGAAUUGACGGGGGCCCGCACAAGCGGUGGAGCAUGUGGUUUAAUUCAAUGCAACGCGAAGAACCUUACCUGGCCUUGACAUAGUAAGAACUUUCCAGAGAUGGAUUGGUGCCUUCGGGAACUUACAUACAGGUGCUGCAUGGCUGUCGUCAGCU